RNAcentral lists this ribosomal RNA (475 nucleotides) under uncultured bacterium. RNAcentral describes it as "SSU rRNA". It matches the Rfam family "Bacterial small subunit ribosomal RNA", at positions 26 to 518 of the family's 1533-position model. The record is from RNAcentral.
AGGACGAACGCUGGCGGCGUGCUUAACACAUGCAAGUCGAGCGGAAAGGCCCUUCGGGGUACUCGAGCGGCGAACGGGUGAGUAACACGUGAGUAAUCUGCCCUUAGCUCUGGGAUAGCUCCGGGAAACCGGGAUUAAUACCAGAUACGACCACUUUAGACAUCUGCCGUGGUGGAAAGAAUUUCGGCUAAGGAUGAGCUCGCGGCCUAUCAGCUUGUUGGUGGGGUAACGGCCUACCAAGGCGACGACGGGUAGCCGGCCUGAGAGGGCGACCGGCCACGACUGGGACUGAGACACGGCCCAGACUCCUACGGGAGGCAGCAGUGGGGAAUAUUGCGCAAUGGGCGAAAGCCUGACGCAGCGACGCCGCGUGGGGGAUGAAGGCCUUCGGGUUGUAAACCCCUUUCAGCAGGGACGAAGCGAAAGUGACGGUACCUGCAGAAGAAGCGCCGGCUAACUACGUGCCAGCAGCCGC